This 168-nucleotide ribosomal RNA is filed under the name uncultured bacterium. RNAcentral's name for it is "partial 16S ribosomal RNA". The stretch from base 35 to 168 matches the Rfam family "Bacterial small subunit ribosomal RNA", at positions 401 to 527 of the family's 1533-position model. The record is from RNAcentral.
CCGGUAGGCAGGGCGAAGCUGAUCCGCCUGCCGCGUGUGUGAAGAAGGUCUUCGGAUUGUAAAGCACUUUAAGUUGGGAGGAAGGGUCGUAAAUUAAUACUCUGCGGUUUUGACGUUACCGACAGAAUAAGCACCGGCUAACUCUGUGCCAGCAGCCGCGGUAAUACG